Molecule: ribosomal RNA, 257 nt
Filed under: uncultured Loktanella sp.
Lineage: Bacteria; Pseudomonadati; Pseudomonadota; Alphaproteobacteria; Rhodobacterales; Roseobacteraceae
Description: partial 16S ribosomal RNA
Rfam family: Bacterial small subunit ribosomal RNA
Source: RNAcentral
GCUACCUUCGGGGUGAGCGGCGGACGGGUUAGUAACGCGUGGGAACAUACCCUUCUCUACGGAAUAGCCUCGGGAAACUGAGAGUAAUACCGUAUACGCCCUUCGGGGGAAAGAUUUAUCGGAGAUGGAUUGGCCCGCGUUAGAUUAGAUAGUUGGUGGGGUAAUGGCCUACCAAGUCUACGAUCUAUAGCUGGUUUGAGAGGAUGAUCAGCAACACUGGGACUGAGACACGGCCCAGACUCCUACGGGAGGCAGCA